This 244-nucleotide ribosomal RNA is filed under the name uncultured Glomus. RNAcentral's name for it is "partial small subunit ribosomal RNA". It matches the Rfam family "Eukaryotic small subunit ribosomal RNA", at positions 857 to 1098 of the family's 1831-position model. Lineage: Eukaryota; Fungi; Glomeromycota; Glomeromycetes; Glomerales; Glomeraceae. The record is from RNAcentral.
CUGAAGUAAUGAUUAAUAGGGAUAGUUGGGGGCAUUAGUAUUUAAUUGUCAGAGGUGAAAUUCUCGGAUUUGUUAAAGACUAACUUAUGCGAAAGCAUUUGCCAAGGAUGUUUUCAUUAAUCAGGAACGAAAGUUAGGGGAUCGAAGAUGAUCAGAUACCGUCGUAGUCUUAACCAUAAACUAUGCCGACUAGGGAUCGGAUGAUGUUAAUUUUUAAUGACUCAUUCGGCGCCUUACGGGAAAC